AAUGAACGUUGGCGGCGUGGAUUAGGCAUGCAAGUCGUGCGGAAAGGCCCUUCGGGGCACUCGAGCGGCGAAAGGGAGAGUAACGCGUGGAUCAUCUACCCUCAGGACCGGGAUAGCCGGGGGAAACCCCGGGUAAUACCGGAUAACGUCUCCGGACCAAAGGUGUGAGUCCGCCUGGGGAUGAGUCCGCGUCCUACUAGCUAGUUGGUGAGGUAACGGCUCACCAAGGCUGCGAUGGGUACGGGGUGUGAGAGCAUGACCCCGCUCACUGGGACUGAGACACUGCCAGACACCUACGGGUGGCUGCAGUCGAGAAUCUUCGGCAAUGGGCGUAAGCCUGACCGAGCGACGCCGCGUGUGGGAUGAAGGCCUUCGGGUUGUAAACCACUGUCGGAGGGGAGGAAAUUCUAAGGGGUCCACUCCUUAGAUUGACCUAUCCUCAAAGGAAGGACGGGCUAAGUUCGUGCCAGCCGCCGCAGUAA
Molecule: ribosomal RNA, 482 nt
Filed under: uncultured bacterium
Lineage: Bacteria
Description: partial 16S ribosomal RNA
Rfam family: Bacterial small subunit ribosomal RNA
Source: RNAcentral